AAGUCGUAACAAGGUUUCCGUAGGUGAACCUGCGGAAGGAUCAUUACCGAGUUCUCCUGCUCUGCAGGAACUCCACACUUGAUUACUAGUCAUGCGUUCGCUUCGGCGAGCACGGCCUGGAAAUCAGCCAUUUGACCUCUCACGUCGAUGCGUGCUCGCCGGAGUUUCAUACUCUACAUUAUGUGUCGUCAGAGAAUCAAAAAUCUAAAAAA
RNAcentral lists this unclassified non-coding RNA (212 nucleotides) under plant metagenome. RNAcentral describes it as "partial contains small subunit ribosomal RNA and internal transcribed spacer 1". The stretch from base 1 to 46 matches the Rfam family "Eukaryotic small subunit ribosomal RNA", at positions 1786 to 1831 of the family's 1831-position model. The record is from RNAcentral.